RNAcentral lists this ribosomal RNA (431 nucleotides) under uncultured bacterium. RNAcentral describes it as "partial 16S ribosomal RNA". It matches the Rfam family "Bacterial small subunit ribosomal RNA", at positions 338 to 795 of the family's 1533-position model. The record is from RNAcentral.
CCUACGGGAGGCAGCAGUGGGGAAUCUUGCACAAUGGGGGAAACCCUGAUGCAGCGACGCCGCGUGAGCGAUGAAGCCCUUCGGGGUGUAAAGCUCUUUCGUCAGGGAAGCGGUACCUGGAGAAGCAGCUGCGGCUAACUACGUGCCAGCAGCCGCGGUAAUACGUAGGCAGCAAGCGUUGUUCGGAGUUACUGGGCGUAAAGGGUGUGUAGGCGGUUCUUUAAGUUUGGUGUGAAAUCUCCCGGCUCAACCGGGAGGGUGCGCCGAAUACUGAGGGACUAGAGUGUGGGAGAGGAAAGUGGAAUUCCUGGUGUAGCGGUGAAAUGCGUAGAUAUCAGGAGGAACACCGGUGGUGUAGACGGCUUUCUGGACAUACUGACGCUGAGACACGAAAGCGUGGGUAGCAAACAGGAUUAGAUACCCUUGUAGUC